This 274-nucleotide ribosomal RNA is filed under the name uncultured bacterium. RNAcentral describes it as "partial 16S ribosomal RNA". It matches the Rfam family "Archaeal small subunit ribosomal RNA", at positions 473 to 747 of the family's 1478-position model. The record is from RNAcentral.
AAACCAGCACCUCAAGUGGUCAGGAUGAUUAUUGGGCCUAAAGCAUCCGUAGCCUGCUCUGUAAGUUUUCGGUUAAAUCUGUACGCUCAACGUACAGGCUGCUGGGAAUACUGCAGAGCUCGGGAGUGGGAGAGGUAGACGGUACUCGGGAGGAAGUGGUAAAAUGCUUUGAUCUCUCGAUGACCACCUGUGGCGAAGGCGGUCUACCAGAACACGUCCGACGGUGAGGGAUGAAAGCUGGGGGAGCAAACCGGAUUAGAAACCCCGGUAGUCC